AUCAUGGCUCAGGAUGAACGCUGGCGGUAUGCUUAACACAUGCAAGUCGAACGAAAUCUUCGGAUUUAGUGGCGGACGGGUGAGUAACGCGUGAGAAUCUGCCAUCAGGCCUGGGACAACCACUGGAAACGGUGGCUAAUACUGGAUGUGCCGAAAGGUGAAAGGUUAACUGCCUGUUGAUGAGCUCGCGUCUGAUUAGCUAGUCGGUGUGGUAAAGGCGCACCUAGGCGACGAUCAGUAGCGGGUCUGAGAGGACGAUCAGCCACACUGGGACUGAGACACGGCCCAGACUCCUACGGGAGGCAGCAGUGGGGAAUUUUCCGCAAUGGGCGAAAGCCUGACGGAGCAAUACCGCGUGAGGGAGGAAGGCUCUUGGGUCGUAAGCCUCUUUUCUCAGGGAAGAACAAAAUGACGGUACCUGAGGAAUAAGCAUCGGCUAACUCCGUGCCAGCAGCCGCGGUAAUACGGAGGAUGCAAGCGUUAUCCGGAAUGAUUGGGCGUAAAGCGUCCGCAGGUGG
Molecule: ribosomal RNA, 518 nt
Filed under: uncultured bacterium
Lineage: Bacteria
Description: bacterial SSU rRNA
Rfam family: Bacterial small subunit ribosomal RNA
Source: RNAcentral